UCCUCGGUGGCUUAGUGGUAAAGAAUCUGUCUGCAACGCAGAAGACGUGGGUUGGAUCCCUGUCUCAGGAA
This 71-nucleotide transfer RNA is filed under the name Ovis aries (sheep). It matches the Rfam family "tRNA". Rfam says of the family: Transfer RNA (tRNA) molecules are approximately 80 nucleotides in length. Their secondary structure includes four short double-helical elements and three loops (D, anti-codon, and T loops). Lineage: Eukaryota; Metazoa; Chordata; Mammalia; Artiodactyla; Bovidae. The record is from Rfam by way of RNAcentral.